AGUGGCGGACGGGUGAGUAACGCGUGGGUAACCUGCCUCAUACAGGGGGAUAACAGUUAGAAAUGACUGCUAAUACCGCAUAAGACCACAGCACCGCAUGGUGCAGGGGUAAAAACUCCGGUGGUAUGAGGUGGACCCGCGUCUGAUUAGGUAGUUGGUGGGGUAACGGCCUGCCAAGCCGACGAUCAGUAGCCGACCUGAGAGGGUGACCGGCCACAUUGGGACUGAGACACGGCCCAA
Molecule: ribosomal RNA, 240 nt
Filed under: uncultured bacterium
Lineage: Bacteria
Description: partial 16S ribosomal RNA
Rfam family: Bacterial small subunit ribosomal RNA
Source: RNAcentral